GACGAACGCUGGCGGCGUGCUUAACACAUGCCAGUCGAACGGAAAGGCCCCGCUUUUGUGGGGUGCUCGAGUGGCGAACGGGUGAGUAACACGUGAGUAACCUGCCCUUGACUUUGGGAUAACUUCAGGAAACUGGGGCUAAUACCGGAUAGGAGCUCCUGCUGCAUGGUGGGGGUUGGAAAGUUUCGGCGGUUGGGGAUGGACUCGCGGCUUAUCAGCUUGUUGGUGGGGUAGUGGCUUACCAAGGCUUUGACGGGUAGCCGGCCUGAGAGGGUGACCGGCCACAUUGGGACUGAGAUACGGCCCAGACUCCUACGGGAGGCAGCAGUGGGGAAUAUUGCACAAUGGGCGGAAGCCUGAUGCAGCAGCGCCGCGUGCGGGAUGACGGCCUUCGGGUUGUAAACCGCUUUCGCCUGUGACGAAGCGUGAGUGACGGUAAUGGGUAAAGAAGCACCGGCUAACUACGUG
Molecule: ribosomal RNA, 468 nt
Filed under: uncultured bacterium
Lineage: Bacteria
Description: partial 16S ribosomal RNA
Rfam family: Bacterial small subunit ribosomal RNA
Source: RNAcentral